UCGUGUCGGUCCUUUGCAAAAUCCACAAAGAGACAGGGAGAGAAGGAGGGUGGACACUCUGUAGUCUCGAGUCUCUGAGCUUUUGCGCUAUUUCCUCUCGGAUGCGAUAAAACCUAGAAGCACAGGUGAAUUAAAACCCCAGGGUGGAAUUUGAAAUAUUUGGAGGAUAUGGACUGGUGGAGUGGAGUUAGCCUGAUGUGCAAGAAAAUGCCAGGAAUUUCAGCCCCUUAUUUAUCACCACACAACAAAGUCAAGCUGCCACCAGACAAGAUGAGGAGCAGCAAUCAGCCUGCAGAUGGAAGCAAGGGUGGGUGGUUGGAAGGCUGGAUAAAGGCUGCUGGAUGACUGAACUCAGAGACCCGGCGCAGCUCAUCAUCAUUGCCAUGGGCUCUUGUCUUCUUCCUCUCCUCCUGUGGCUUGUACCUCCAUCCAGGGGUCCAGCAGAGCCAGUGAAGCCCAGGCGGGGAGCUAGUGAGUGGGCCGGGAAGGAUGGAGAAGGUCCCCAAAGGCUCAGAUCACCUCUGGAGCUACCGGCAUGCAGGAGAAAUCAAUAUGAAACAGAAAACCUUCACAGCUCUGAGUGGGGUUUCCUGUGUUUUAAGUGUGUGGCCUACGGGCCUGCAGACCUCCAAAAGACAGGUCCUGUGUGGUUCUCUCAGCUGCAGCCCUGGCUCCUUGGACUGGACCUCAGUCCCAAUCUCCACUGACUGUGUGUGUGGUUCUGCUGAAGGGGAUUUCUCCCCAAAUAAUACCCAAUGCCCAGAACGUUGAAAGACUGCCAAGAGGGAUGCUCCUUUCUCUUGCCUUUUUUUUCCAUCAUAAGAUUGACAUAUCCCCCCAACCUCCUGCCUCGGGCUGAUAAAAAAACAAAAAAAAACCACACAGUUCGGGAGCUCUACUUUUGACUCAUUCUCCAUCCUCGACUCGCCCGUUGUUUAUUCCCCCAACUAGUUUUUACAUUUGACAAAGAGACAGAUCUUUAUUUUCUCUACCACUCGCUUGGCUUGCUGUUACUAUGGUGAGCUGUAGACACGUGUCUGUUUAAACCAGAAAUACUGGCACACGAAGUAUGAGCUUCUCUUUUUUUUCUCCAUGAUGUCUAUUAUUCAAUUUCAGACUGUUUAAAAAAACUGACUGAACAGCAAAGAGGGCUGGAGAUCAUAGAGCAGAGAGACCUUGUAGUGGAGAUGGUAAAAUGGCAAGUAUCUCUCUUUAGCACUUCACAUUUUCCACUCUAUGAACUACUCUGAAUGCGCUGUCAUUACAUCACACAUUGCCUAAAAUAGCCUGUGACAGGGAGAGAUGGUAACUCGGCAUCCUUUGAGGCCGAUUUAGGAUUACAGCUGUGAAAAAAAGAGGUGUUUCUUUAAUUAUAAGAUGCCACUCGUGCUUUCAAUCUCUACUCUCGCUGUAUAAUUCUUAUCUACAUCACAGAGCUGUGUGUGUGUGUGUGUGUGUGUGUGUGUGUGUGUGUGUGUGUGUGUGUGUGUGUGUGUGUAAAUGGACUGUAUAUGUUUGGCCUUGAGUGUUUGAGCUGCGAGCAGCAGCAGCAGUGUGCACCCACAUCUCCCAAACUGCUGUCGUCGUCACAGUAAUGCAGCGUGGUUGUUUCCAUCCAGAUGGGCACAGCUUCAGACAAAAUG
Molecule: long non-coding RNA, 1643 nt
Organism: Oreochromis aureus
Lineage: Eukaryota; Metazoa; Chordata; Actinopteri; Cichliformes; Cichlidae
Exons: 3
Source: RefSeq, a predicted model, not a curated record